UGGUUACCGCAUNGAUGAAGAACGCAGCAAAAUGCGAUAAGUAAUGUGAAUUGCAGAAUCUAGUGAAUCAUUGAAUCUUUGAACGCACAUUGCACUUGGGUCACCGCCCAAGUAUGCCUGUCCGAGCGUCAUUACUCCUCAACGGCAGCUUGCCGUCAGUGGGGCGUGUCCCUCACCGGAUGCUCCUCUAAGCCAUCGUCUGGAAGGUUAGCCUGUCUGCAGCCUGCAUCGUAGAAACAUUGCCGUCUGCACCGGUCACCUGAGAGACCAACCUUCACCUAGUUUGACCUCGGAUCAGGUAGGGAUACCCGCUGA
RNAcentral lists this unclassified non-coding RNA (315 nucleotides) under uncultured fungus. Its description in RNAcentral is "partial contains 5.8S ribosomal RNA and internal transcribed spacer 2". The stretch from base 1 to 131 matches the Rfam family "5.8S ribosomal RNA", at positions 22 to 154 of the family's 154-position model. The record is from RNAcentral. Lineage: Eukaryota; Fungi.